Rosa chinensis is the source of this 1225-nucleotide long non-coding RNA. RefSeq lists it as uncharacterized. NCBI's taxonomy places the organism in Eukaryota, Viridiplantae, Streptophyta, Magnoliopsida, Rosales, Rosaceae. The record is from RefSeq and is a predicted model, not a curated record. The transcript has 4 exons.
AUAUCCAUAUUGAGUUGAUAAAACCGUUUCUAUUAUCUAUCUUAACCCAAAGCAGUCUCUUGUAUCAUAACAAACAUAUAAAAACCCAAUCCAAUUUAAGAUAAGAGGUUAUUGAGUCGGCCUCUUGCUUCGUUUUGGUUUGUUUCUUAUUUUCAGUCAGUUAUUUUUCUUCUUCUUUUUCCUAUGUCAUUGUACAUUGUGUUUUAACCAGCAAACUGAUAUAUGUUUGUUGUCGUAGAAGUUCGUCUCUUUCUGUUCUGAAAUUGUGAUUGUCCCAAUAUUUUGAUGGCUUAGUUUGCUGAUCUGCUUUCUUGGUAAUCAUAAGCUAUAGAUAUGGAUGUAGUAAAUGUCGUUUGUGAGGAUCUUCAGAAAAUUUGUUCAUGUUCUCAUUGAUAUGUUGUUCAUAAUGUCAGCCAUAUUAAUAUGUCAAAUUAUGUGUGUUUGUAGGUGAUUGUUUAGAGCAACAGACUAAUUUCACUGUUGUGACUGAAAGUACUAUCUAAGAGAAGUGGUCUGCUCAUUAUUUUCUUUCUUUCAUUCUUUCUAUGGUAUUGUUUGGAUCUGCUCAUUCAAUACAUCCCCUAAUUCUGAGAGCACCCUAAUAAGACUAAUUUUGUUGUGAUUUCAUGCCUUAUACCAAACACGAUUAGUCUGUGUUUGGUUCGAAUAUUAUUCAGAGAUCGAAGGUUUGGAAGUUUUUCUUGCUAGAUUAAAGCAUGUGGAAAUUUUCUUUUGGUUUCUGGUUAGAUUAACCUUUGUGUUUUAUGCAGUGAAAGGGACUGUGGUAUUUUGAUUUCUGGUUUUGAGUUUAUGCAAAAGAAUUUUGGCACCAUCUUUCUGCAGCUGUUCCUUUGCCUAUUGCUCAGUGUCGUCUUGCUUGCUUAUUCUUAUUCAGUUAUAAAUGAUUUUAGGAGCAGUUUGCAGCUAGAUUAUUCAACUGUCUUGAAUUCAGGUUGAAAAAGAGUGGGAGCGUUUCUCAGUUCGUGUAUAGAUGAGGAAAUCUAAAUUCAAAUCACAGCCAUUAACAAGGGUGAAAAUUUGGGUUGUGAUUUUGCUUCUUAAGGUUGAAAUGUUUUGAUUGAAUUGUUCACAGAUUGAAUUUGGUUUUUUAUUUAUUUAUGUAGUGUGUGCUUAAUCUAGAAGUUGUACAUAUUAAGGGAGUGGGGACUUGCUUAAGAAUCAUAAGCAGCUAUGUCUUUGUUCAUUUCUAGGUUCAGAGAUUUAA